GAUGAACGCUGGCGGCGUGCCUAACACAUGCAAGUCGAGCGAUUCUCUUCGGAGAAGAGCGGCGGACGGGUGAGUAACGCGUGGGUAACCUGCCCUGUACACACGGAUAACAUACCGAAAGGUAUGCUAAUACGAGAUAAUAUGCUUUUAUCGCAUGGUAGAAGUAUCAAAGCUUUUGCGGUACAGGAUGGACCCGCGUCUGAUUAGCUAGUUGGUAAGGUAACGGCUUACCAAGGCGACGAUCAGUAGCCGACCUGAGAGGGUGAUCGGCCACAUUGGAACUGAGACACGGUCCAAACUCCUACGGGAGGCAGCAGUGGGGAAUAUUGCACAAUGGGCGAAAGCCUGAUGCAGCAACGCCGCGUGAGCGAUGAAGGCCUUCGGGUCGUAAAGUUCUGUCCUCAAGGAAGAUAAUGACGGUACUUGAGGAGGAAGCCCCAGCUAACUACGUG
Molecule: ribosomal RNA, 452 nt
Filed under: uncultured bacterium
Lineage: Bacteria
Description: partial 16S ribosomal RNA
Rfam family: Bacterial small subunit ribosomal RNA
Source: RNAcentral